AAUAAAUUAAUUUGUAUUAGGUUAUUUCAGUAAUUUUAAUUUAAAAAAAAAUGAAGAGGAACUUUAAGGGGUGUCAAAAUGCUACUCUUUUAUUAGGAAAGACUAGGGAUUGGGCCUUCUAGGAGCACCUAUUAUUAAGUCUCAUUGCACGUACAUUUCGGGGAGCAAAUUUCUUUUAUUUUCUCUCUCAUUUUGGGAAAGAAAAUAAAAUUACCCUCUCACAUUCCAUUAACAUACGCAUAUAAACCCCUUACCUAAUGAUCCAUAAAAGGGGAGAUGAUGAUUAAUGAGUGUAAACACAAAAUUUUAUUUUUAUUUUUAUUACUUUAAGGUUUUUUUAUUAGUUUUAACACUAAACUUUAUAUAGGUGCAUAUUGAGAAGAAAGUUUGGAGAACCACAUUAUCCUUUUUUUUUCUUUUGAAAUGGGGAGAAAAACGUUACUAAUUACUAAAAAUUGAAAAUUAUGUGUAACAAUGGUUGGUGAGCAUUAAGCAAUGCUGUCUUUAGGCGUAAAGAUGACAAAUGGUGAAUGCAUAAAAUGUAGGGACUUUCUUAUCUUAUCUUAGAAGCCCUAAUUCUAGCACAAUAAAAAUCUUAUUGGUAAUGUCACCGAAGACAUAAUAGAGUGGAUCAAAUUAAUCUCCAAAUUCAGCAAUUUAAGUAAAAAUUCAUAUUGUAGGUUGCGAUGGCACUUUUCCUUUUGAUGUAUGCAUUGUUCUUUAUCAAAUGUAAAUUAGUAUAAGAAUUUGUGUGUGUGUGUGUGGUCUUUCUCUAGUAUGGGUGUACAUAGAGUUAAGAUUUUAACUCUUUUAAACUAUAUAGUUUUAUAGUUCAUUUACAAAUAAGUUUAUUAAACUCUACGAUUUAAAAAUGAUGUAUAUACACACACUUCUAUUUUUAAUAUUUUUAUAAGAAGAAUUGGUAUUUUCAAUACUGUUGAAAGCACCAGUUAAUAUUACUACAAACCCAACGGCGCAAAACGACUUUAAUCCUGUAGCAGUUUAAACAUUAAUUAAGAAUUUGAAAAAAAGAAGAAGAAACAUCGUUUGUGGCUCAUUCACAGUUUAAUUAACACAGCAUACCCAAUAAAUAGCUUAUUUCUAGUCUUCACUUCUCAUCAGAAAACUGGGCAUUUAAUAUUACAAUUAUGCAUCAUUUAUUGGUCCAAUAACACAAGUUUCAAUCAACCUCCUAGGUAGCAGACGCUUCACAUUGUAGUACCCAUAUCUAUCCAACACAGGCCUGGCUAUAGGAGCCUCUUGUUGACAUCAAUAAUUGAGUUCGGGCAGCAACAAUUACUAAUUUACUAUUACUAUCAUUUUUCUUUUGUUGCUUUUUGGAAGUCUGAACGUGGCUCUUGCCUCUGGUCCUGUAGCCCCAUAAAUUUCAUGAGGCAGAAGCCAAGAGCCCACUGGCUGCAUCUGUCAGGUGGGUGAGUGUGUUUACUUGGUGAUGUGGUCACGUCUCUCAUAGCUUCUUAGGCACAAAUUAGGUGGAUGGGCAUAUAGUGAGCAGUAUUGAGUAGCCGUGGGGUAGGUGCUAUAGUAAACCAAUACUAUCAAUUACCUCAUUAGUUCUAUUUAAAAAAAAGAAAGGGAAAAAAAUCUCUUAGAAACGUAAACAUAUUAGCCGCGGCCUAAACUUUAUUUCAAUUAUAUGUUUCUCUUGCUGUAAUUUCAAGCAUAUCUUUUGAUUUAUACCCUAUAUCUUUAGUCAAAUGAAAUUGUCAGUUUUCUAUCUAUCAAAAUCAAGAUAUAGUAUUUAUUUCCUAUUAUUUUCAUAAUAGUUAAUAAUCCUAUUGACAAUAUAAUUUGAAAGUACUUUCAAAUGCACUU
RNAcentral lists this long non-coding RNA (1836 nucleotides) under Citrus x clementina. Its description in RNAcentral is "Citrus clementina (C. clementina) long non-coding RNA (CCLE_LNC006470)". The record is from RNAcentral. Lineage: Eukaryota; Viridiplantae; Streptophyta; Magnoliopsida; Sapindales; Rutaceae.